UACGUAGGGUGCAAGCGUUGUCCGGAAUUAUUGGGCGUAAAGAGCUCGUAGGCGGUUUGUCGCGUCUGCUGUGAAAACCCGAGGCUCAACCUCGGGCCUGCAGUGGGUACGGGCAGACUAGAGUGCGGUAGGGGAGAUUGGAAUUCCUGGUGUAGCGGUGAAAUGCGUAGAUAUCGAGAGGAACACCUGCGGCGAAGGCGGGUUGCUGGGCUGACACUGACGCUGAGGCGCGAAAGCUAGGGGAGCGAACGGG
RNAcentral lists this ribosomal RNA (253 nucleotides) under uncultured bacterium. Its description in RNAcentral is "partial 16S ribosomal RNA". It matches the Rfam family "Bacterial small subunit ribosomal RNA", at positions 524 to 776 of the family's 1533-position model. The record is from RNAcentral.